AUGGAUGUGCUUGAUAUUUUUCUGCAACAUGUUUGUACUAAUGCACCAAGUAUGGAAGCACUCUCUCUUGAUCCUUUAUGCUGCUUAAUGUUGACUGAUAAGUUAAAUCAUCUACUUUUGCAGGGACGCAAGACAAAGUUUGACUUAUUUGUUGAACAGUACAAACAAGACACUGUCAAAACUCAGGGGGUCCUCGAUAUACUGGUUGGUAAGCAAGCAGAUAUAGUUGAUGAUUGGUACAAAGAGAUGGCUGAGAAAUUCUUAGAUGAAACCUGGAUGAAAAGGCUCAAGGUGAUCAAAGCUGUAGUUCCUCACGUGGCCAAAAUCUUUUUCCUCUAUGUGUUUGUUAAAAUGAUGCGGCAAAGCAAAGUUCCUAUAUGGAAAUACCCUGCGGCUGCUCGAGCUGGCAGGUUAGCCGCAUCGCAGAAAAUUUUGGAAAUGCUUGAGGAGGCUGAGAAGCUCGAAAAGGCUGAGAGGCUGAAGAAUGGCGGAGACAGCAAGCUGUUCUCGAAAAUGUGGGCGAUCUUGAAGAGUGGUGGCACUACUUCUGGAAAGGGUGAGCAGAAGCCGGGGAAGGAUGUGCCGAAGCAGGGUGGGGAUGAGGACAAGUCAGGGGAGGAUGGACCCGACGAUUAG
RNAcentral lists this ribosomal RNA (636 nucleotides) under Triticum aestivum (bread wheat). RNAcentral's name for it is "partial small subunit ribosomal RNA". The record is from RNAcentral. Lineage: Eukaryota; Viridiplantae; Streptophyta; Magnoliopsida; Poales; Poaceae.